AAACAAAAGAGUUUGAUCCUGGCUCAGAUUGAACGCUGGCGGCGUGCUUUACACAUGCAAGUCGAGCGGCAGCACGACCUUCGGGUUGGUGGCGAGCGGCGAACGGGUGAGUAAUACAUCGGAACGUACCUUUUAGUGGGGGAUAACGCAUCGAAAGAUGUGCUAAUACCGCAUAAUCUCUGAGGAGGAAAGGCGGGGACCUUCGGGCCUGUCGCUGAAAGAGCGGCCGAUGGCUGAUUAGCUAGUUGGUAGGGUAAAGGCCUACCAAGGCGAUGAUCAGUAGCUGUUCUGAGAGGAAGAUCAGCCACACUGGGACUGAGACACGGCCCAGACUCCUACGGGAGGCAGCAGUGGGGAAUUUUGGACAAUGGGGGCAACCCUGAUCCAGCAACGCCGCGUGAAUGAAGAAGGCCUUCGGGUUGUAAAGUUCUUUUGUCAGGGAGCAAAGGGUGGGUGCUAAUACCAUCUAUCGCUGAGAGUACCUGAAGAAUAAGCACCGGCUAACUACGUGCCAGCAGCCGCGGUAAUACGUAGGGUGCAAGCGUUAAUCGGAAUUACUGGGCGUAAAGCGUGCGCAGGCGGAUGAUUAAGUUAGGAGUGAAAUCCCCGGGCUCAACCUGGGAACUGCUUUUAAGACUGGUCAUCUAGAGUUUGUCAGAGGGGGGUGGAAUUCCAAGUGUAGCAGUGAAAUGCGUAGAGAUUUGGAGGAACACCGAUGGCGAAGGCAGCCCCCUGGGAUAAAACUGACGCUCAUGCACGAAAGCGUGGGUAGCAAACAGGAUUAGAUACCCUGGUAGUCCACGCCCUAAACGAUGUUUACUUGCUGUUGGGGGCAACCUUAGUAGCGAAGCUAACGCGAGAAGUAAACCGCCUGGGGAGUACGGUCGCAAGAUUAAAACUCAAAGGAAUUGACGGGGACCCGCACAAGCGGUGGAUGAUGUGGAUUAAUUCGAUGCAACGCGAAAAACCUUACCUGCUCUUGACAUGUACGGAAGAUUUCAGAGAUGAGAUUGUGCCUUCGGGAACCGUAACACAGGUGCUGCAUGGCUGUCGUCAGCUCGUGUCGUGAGAUGUUGUCUUAAGUGACGCAACGAGCGCAACCCUUGUCACUAGUUGCCAUCAUUAAGUUGGGCACUUUAGUGAGACUGCCGGAGCUAAUCCGGAGGAAGGUGGGGAUGACGUCAAGUCCUCAUGGCCCUUAUGAGCAGGGCUUCACACGUCAUACAAUGGUAAGUACAGAGGGAAGCAAAGCGGCGACGUGGAGCAAAUCUCAUAAAACUUAUCGUAGUCCGGAUCGUAGUCUGCAACUCGACUACGUGAAGUCGGAAUCGCUAGUAAUCGCAGAUCAGCAUGCUGCGGUGAAUACGUUCCCGGGUCUUGUACACACCGCCCGUCACACCAUGGGAGUGGAGGAUACCAGAAGUAGUUAGGCUAACCGCAAGGGGGCCGAUUACCACGGUAUGUUUCAUGACUGGGGUGAAGUCGUAACAAGGUAGCAGUAGGGGAACCUGCGGCUGGAUCACCUCCUUUCU
RNAcentral lists this ribosomal RNA (1532 nucleotides) under Aquella oligotrophica. Its description in RNAcentral is "bacterial SSU rRNA". It matches the Rfam family "Bacterial small subunit ribosomal RNA". Lineage: Bacteria; Pseudomonadati; Pseudomonadota; Betaproteobacteria; Neisseriales; Neisseriaceae. The record is from RNAcentral.